GGGUUGUGAGGUUAAGCGACUAAGCGUACACGGUGGAUGCCCUGGCAGUCAGAGGCGAUGAAGGACGUGCUAAUCUGCGAUAAGCGUCGGUAAGGUGAUAUGAACCGUUAUAACCGGCGAUUUCCGAAUGGGGAAACCCAGUGUGAUUCGUCACACUAUCAUUAACUGAAUCCAUAGGUUAAUGAGGCGAACCGGGGGAACUGAAACAUCUAAGUACCCCGAGGAAAAGAAAUCAACCGAGAUUCCCCCAGUAGCGGCGAGCGAACGGGGAGGAGCCCAGAGCCUGAAUCAGUGUGUGUGUUAGUGGAAGCGUCUGGAAAGGCGCGCGAUACAGGGUGACAGCCCCGUACACAAAAAUGCACAUGCUGUGAGCUCGAUGAGUAGGGCGGGACACGUGGUAUCCUGUCUGAAUAUGGGGGGACCAUCCUCCAAGGCUAAAUACUCCUGACUGACCGAUAGUGAACCAGUACCGUGAGGGAAAGGCGAAAAGAACCCCGGCGAGGGGAGUGAAAAAGAACCUGAAACCGUGUACGUACAAGCAGUGGGAGCACAGAGCAAUCUGUGUGACUGCGUACCUUUUGUAUAAUGGGUCAGCGACUUAUAUUCUGUAGCAAGGUUAACCGAAUAGGGGAGCCGAAGGGAAACCGAGUCUUAACUGGGCGUUAAGUUGCAGGGUAUAGACCCGAAACCCGGUGAUCUAGCCAUGGGCAGGUUGAAGGUUGGGUAACACUAACUGGAGGACCGAACCGACUAAUGUUGAAAAAUUAGCGGAUGACUUGUGGCUGGGGGUGAAAGGCCAAUCAAACCGGGAGAUAGCUGGUUCUCCCCGAAAGCUAUUUAGGUAGCGCCUCGUGAAUUCAUCUCCGGGGGUAGAGCACUGUUUCGGCAAGGGGGUCAUCCCGACUUACCAACCCGAUGCAAACUGCGAAUACCGGAGAAUGUUAUCACGGGAGACACACGGCGGGUGCUAACGUCCGUCGUGAAGAGGGAAACAACCCAGACCGCCAGCUAAGGUCCCAAAGUCAUGGUUAAGUGGGAAACGAUGUGGGAAGGCCCAGACAGCCAGGAUGUUGGCUUAGAAGCAGCCAUCAUUUAAAGAAAGCGUAAUAGCUCACUGGUCGAGUCGGCCUGCGCGGAAGAUGUAACGGGGCUAAACCAUGCACCGAAGCUGCGGCAGCGACACUAUGUGUUGUUGGGUAGGGGAGCGUUCUGUAAGCCUGUGAAGGUGUACUGUGAGGUAUGCUGGAGGUAUCAGAAGUGCGAAUGCUGACAUAAGUAACGAUAAAGCGGGUGAAAAGCCCGCUCGCCGGAAGACCAAGGGUUCCUGUCCAACGUUAAUCGGGGCAGGGUGAGUCGACCCCUAAGGCGAGGCCGAAAGGCGUAGUCGAUGGGAAACAGGUUAAUAUUCCUGUACUUGGUGUUACUGCGAAGGGGGGACGGAGAAGGCUAUGUUGGCCGGGCGACGGUUGUCCCGGUUUAAGCGUGUAGGCUGGUUUUCCAGGCAAAUCCGGAAAAUCAAGGCUGAGGCGUGAUGACGAGGCACUACGGUGCUGAAGCAACAAAUGCCCUGCUUCCAGGAAAAGCCUCUAAGCAUCAGGUAACAUCAAAUCGUACCCCAAACCGACACAGGUGGUCAGGUAGAGAAUACCAAGGCGCUUGAGAGAACUCGGGUGAAGGAACUAGGCAAAAUGGUGCCGUAACUUCGGGAGAAGGCACGCUGAUAUGUAGGUGAAGUCCCUCGCGGAUGGAGCUGAAAUCAGUCGAAGAUACCAGCUGGCUGCAACUGUUUAUUAAAAACACAGCACUGUGCAAACACGAAAGUGGACGUAUACGGUGUGACGCCUGCCCGGUGCCGGAAGGUUAAUUGAUGGGGUUAGCGCAAGCGAAGCUCUUGAUCGAAGCCCCGGUAAACGGCGGCCGUAACUAUAACGGUCCUAAGGUAGCGAAAUUCCUUGUC
RNAcentral lists this ribosomal RNA (1957 nucleotides) under Escherichia coli. RNAcentral's name for it is "partial 23S ribosomal RNA". It matches the Rfam family "Bacterial large subunit ribosomal RNA", at positions 1 to 1973 of the family's 2925-position model. The record is from RNAcentral. Lineage: Bacteria; Pseudomonadati; Pseudomonadota; Gammaproteobacteria; Enterobacterales; Enterobacteriaceae.